GACGAACGCUGGCGGCGUGCUUAACACAUGCAAGUCGUACGGUAAGGCCCUUUCGGGGGUACACGAGUGGCGAACGGGUGAGUAACACGUGAGUAACCUGCCCACAACUUUGGGAUAACGCUAGGAAACUGGUGCUAAUACUGUAUAUGUGCUCCUGCUGCAUGGUGGGGGUUAGAAAGCUCCGGCGGUUGUGGAUGGACUCGCGGCCUAUCAGCUUGUUGGUGGGGUAGUGGCCUACCAAGGCGGCGACGGGUAGCCGGCCUGAGAGGGUGACCGGCCACAUUGGGACUGAGAUACGGCCCAGACUCCUACGGGAGGCAGCAGUGGGGAAUAUUGCACAAUGGGCGCAAGCCUGAUGCAGCAACGCCGCGUGCGGGAUGACGGCCUUCGGGUUGUAAACCGCUUUCAGCAGGGACGAAGCUUUUUGUGACGGUACCUGCAGAAGAAGCACCGGCUAACUACGUG
This 465-nucleotide ribosomal RNA is filed under the name uncultured bacterium. RNAcentral's name for it is "partial 16S ribosomal RNA". It matches the Rfam family "Bacterial small subunit ribosomal RNA", at positions 28 to 507 of the family's 1533-position model. The record is from RNAcentral.